AUUGAACGCUGGCGGCAGGCCUAACACAUGCAAGUCGAGCGGAUGAAGGGAGCUUGCUCCUGGAUUCAGCGGCGGACGGGUGAGUAAUGCCUAGGAAUCUGCCUGGUAGUGGGGGAUAACGUCCGGAAACGGGCGCUAAUACCGCAUACGUCCUGAGGGAGAAAGUGGGGGAUCUUCGGACCUCACGCUAUCAGAUGAGCCUAGGUCGGAUUAGCUAGUUGGGGGGGUAAAGGCCUACCAAGGCGACGAUCCGUAACUGGUCUGAGAGGAUGAUCAGUCACACUGGAACUGGAAAACGGUCCAGACUCCUACGGGAGGCAGCAGUGGGGAAUAUUGGACAAUGGGCGAAAGCCUGAUCCAGCCAUGCCGCGUGGGUGAAGAAGGUCUUCGGAUGGUAAAGCACUUUAAGUUGGGAGGAAGGGCAGUAAGUUAAUACCUUGAUGUUUUGACGUUACCAACAGAAUAAGCACCGGCUAACUUCGUG
Molecule: ribosomal RNA, 484 nt
Filed under: uncultured bacterium
Lineage: Bacteria
Description: partial 16S ribosomal RNA
Rfam family: Bacterial small subunit ribosomal RNA
Source: RNAcentral